This 183-nucleotide ribosomal RNA is filed under the name Lachnoclostridium sp. An76. RNAcentral describes it as "partial 23S ribosomal RNA". It matches the Rfam family "Bacterial large subunit ribosomal RNA", at positions 2745 to 2925 of the family's 2925-position model. The record is from RNAcentral. Lineage: Bacteria; Bacillati; Bacillota; Clostridia; Lachnospirales; Lachnospiraceae.
GUAGCCAAGCCGGGAAGGGAUAAACGCUGAAGGCAUCUAAGCGUGAAGCCCCCCUCAAGAUGAGAUAUCCCAUAACGUCAAGUUAGUAAGACCCCUUGAAGACGACGAGGUAGAUAGGGCAGAGGUGGAAGUGCGGUAACGCAUGGAGCUGACUGUUACUAAUCGGUCGAGGGCAUAACCAAA